CCUACGGGUGGCUGCAGUGGGGAAUAUUGGACAAUGGGGGCAACCCUGAUCCAGCCAUGCCGCGUGUGUGAAGAAGGCCCUCGGGUUGUAAAGCACUUUCAGUGAGGAAGAACGCCUGGUGGUUAAUACCCAUCAGGAAAGACAUCACUCACAGAAGAAGCACCGGCUAACUCCGUGCCAGCAGCCGCGGUAAUACGGAGGGUGCGAGCGUUAAUCGGAAUUACUGGGCGUAAAGCGCGCGUAGGUGGCUUGAUAAGCCGGUUGUGAAAGCCCCGGGCUCAACCUGGGAACGGCAUCCGGAACUGUCAAGCUAGAGUGCAGGAGAGGAAGGUAGAAUUCCCGGUGUAGCGGUGAAAUGCGUAGAGAUCGGGAGGAAUACCAGUGACGAAGGCGGCCUUCUGGACUGACACUGACACUGAGGUGCGAAAGCGUGGGUAGCAAACAGGAUUAGAUACCCCGGUAGUC
Molecule: ribosomal RNA, 465 nt
Filed under: Vreelandella stevensii
Lineage: Bacteria; Pseudomonadati; Pseudomonadota; Gammaproteobacteria; Oceanospirillales; Halomonadaceae
Description: partial 16S ribosomal RNA
Rfam family: Bacterial small subunit ribosomal RNA
Source: RNAcentral